GGCUAAGAAAAUGAUUGUACAGAAGAAGAUACACGAGAAAUGGGUCCCGCCGCGGUAUGGCAUACUCCAUGACUUCAUCCAUGGUCGUAAUCUUCUUCUUCGUCCACAAAUAAAGGAAUAUUUCUCAUCAUCGAUCAGCAAAUCACAACCCAAUUUUACUUCUACUUGACAAACUCUUGCUGUUAGGUUUUUGAUUGCUUUGUAAGAUAUGUGGGGAUUUGGGGGUAGGUAUUAUUGGGGGACGAGGAGGAAAGAAACCGAAAAAGUGGAAGGUAUUGUCGUGGUUUUCGCUUGGAUGUCCAGUCAAGAUAAGCACCUCAAGAAUUACGUCGACUUAUAUUCUUCUCUCGGUUGGAAUUCUCUCAUCUGCCAUUCCCAAUUCCUCAACUUGUUCUUUCCUGAGAAGGCAACAGCAUUGGCAUUUGAAAUACUCAAUGAACUUAUUAAGGAACUUAAAAUGAGGCCAUGCCCUGUUGUUCUUGCUUCAUUUUCUGGUGGUCCAAAAGCUUGCAUGUAUAAGAUGCUUCAGAUAAUUGAUGGAAGAAGUCAAUCGCUUCCAAAUUCAGUACGCAAAGUGAAUCUUAUAAUUCAAGAUCUUCUUCCCUUUUCUCUUCGUUCAUGUCGUAUUUGCCUUGUGUAGGAUGAGUACAAGCUAGUUAAGGACUGCAUAUGUGGUCAUAUCUAUGAUUCAACUCCAAUUGACUUUAAAAGUGACAUGGGUAUGCGUUUUAUUCUACACCCGACGGUUCUACAAAUGUCUAGUCCACCACCUAUAGUAAAAUGGAUUGUAAAUUCCAUAUCUUCCGGCUUGGAUACUCUUUUCCUCACUAGAUUUGAAUCGCAACGAGCUGAUUAUUGGCAGACUCUUUAUUCCUCUGUGAGCAUGGGGGCUCCAUAUUUAAUCUUCUGUUCAGAAGACGACGAUCUUGCUCCUUGGCAUGUUAUCUUUAAUUUCGCUCAAAGAUUAGAAGCUCUGGGCGGAGAUGUGAAAAUGGUGAAAUGGAAUCGAUCUUCUCACUGCAGGUCAUUAUCGCAAUUACCCAAUUGAAUAUAGUGCUGCUGUAACAGAGCUUCUUGGUAAGUCAUCAACAAUAUACUCUCAAAGAAUUAGACAACUCGAAGGGGAAGAAAGAAUGGGAUUCGACAGUAGUCAUGACGAAGAACAUGGCCCAUUUCAAUCUCUGAAGAAAGCAACGAAAAACGCAAAUCAGAUCGUGAGAAGAGUCGCUCUAGGAUCGAAAGAUCAUUUCGUUGUUCCCACUUCUGUGGAGUAUCACGAUGGAAAAGCAGUUGGGUCUGUUGAGGAUGGUGAAAGAGGAGGAUUUAUUCAAUUGACGAACUUGCCGAGGAUAAACGCUCAUGGUGUUCUUGGACAAAUACUUUACGAUGUUUGCGUUCCGAAGAACGUGGAGGAUUGGGAUGUGAAGGAUUCUUCGAAUUUCAGUAUGGCUCCGUUUCCUAAUUUGUCAAGAAGGAUUUACAUGAAUCCUAUCAAGUGUAUUCGAAAAUCAAGAUUGUGAUUUCAAAUAAUCAAAUGGGUUGGCUGAGUGUGAAUUUGUGUGGAAUUCUAGUCUUGGCCUCCAUUUUCAGGAUGGAUUUUCCUUCUCUGCCUGUAAUCUUGGAUCUUAAAUUGUAUGUAGAAGAGAGACUCUGUGUCAUAUGUUAUUAACAUUUGAUCUUAUGUAUGAUUUUUGUCACAUAAAACUAUUUUAGUAGGUUGAGUUUAGUGCUUCAAUUAUAUAAUGAAAUUAUUUUUUAGAUGUUAAA
Impatiens glandulifera is the source of this 1767-nucleotide RNA transcript. RefSeq lists it as uncharacterized. The record is from RefSeq and is a predicted model, not a curated record. The transcript has 6 exons. Lineage: Eukaryota; Viridiplantae; Streptophyta; Magnoliopsida; Ericales; Balsaminaceae.